UUCACCUGGGAUCCCGCAAAAUUCCCAAAACCUCGGGAAAUUCUGGAGAGACUGGCGGCCAGGAAACGCAGGAUGGUCAGCAUCGUGGACCCGCACAUCAAGGUGGACGGGGGGUACCGGGUCCACGCCGAGCUGAGGGCGCGCGGCCUCUUCGUCAAAACCAAGGACGGCGGCGACUACGAGGGCUGGUGCUGGCCUGGUGAGAGGAU
Molecule: long non-coding RNA, 209 nt
Organism: Malurus melanocephalus (red-backed fairy wren)
Lineage: Eukaryota; Metazoa; Chordata; Aves; Passeriformes; Maluridae
Exons: 3
Source: RefSeq, a predicted model, not a curated record